RNAcentral lists this ribosomal RNA (398 nucleotides) under uncultured bacterium. Its description in RNAcentral is "partial 16S ribosomal RNA". It matches the Rfam family "Bacterial small subunit ribosomal RNA", at positions 523 to 918 of the family's 1533-position model. The record is from RNAcentral.
AUACGUAGGGUGCGAGCGUUGCCCGGAAUUACUGGGCGUAAAGAGCUCGUAGGUGGUUUGUCGCGUCGUCUGUGAAAUUCCGGGGCUUAACUCCGGGCGUGCAGGCGAUACGGGCAUAACUUGAGUACUGUAGGGGAGACUGGAAUUCCUGGUGUAGCGGUGAAAUGCGCAGAUAUCAGGAGGAACACCGGUGGCGAAGGCGGGUCUCUGGGCAGUAACUGACGCUGAGGAGCGAAAGCAUGGGUAGCGAACAGGAUUAGAUACCCUGGUAGUCCAUGCCGUAAACGGUGGGCGCUAGGUGUAGGGGUCUUCCACGACUUCUGUGCCGUAGCUAACGCAUUAAGCGCCCCGCCUGGGGAGUACGGCCGCAAGGCUAAAACUCAAAGGAAUUGACGGGG